This 525-nucleotide ribosomal RNA is filed under the name Marsenia sp. MNHN IM 2013-43321. RNAcentral's name for it is "partial large subunit ribosomal RNA". Lineage: Eukaryota; Metazoa; Mollusca; Gastropoda; Littorinimorpha; Velutinidae. The record is from RNAcentral.
AUGGCUCUUUGUUUAAUAAACAUAAAGCGUCUGGCCUGCUCAGUGAUUUUUAUUUUAACAGCCGCGGUACUCUGACCGUGCGAAGGUAGCAUAAUCAUUUGUCUYAUAAUUGAAGUCUGGAAUGAAUGGUUUGACAAGAGCAAAGCUGUCUCUAAUUAUAAAAAAAAAUUUUAUUAUUAGGUUAAAAAGCCUAAAUAAAAUUAAAAGACGAGAAGACCCUAUCGAGCUUUAAAGGUUUAUUAAAUUUUUUACAUUUAUGUAAAAAUAAUGUUAAGUGUUAUUUUAGUUGGGGCGACUCAAGAACAAAUAAAGCUUCUUGUAACUUUAUAUAUAUAAUUUGACCCUUAAUUUAGGAUUAAAAGAAUUAGUUACCGUAGGGAUAACAGCAUUAUCUUUUUUGAGAGCUCAAAUCGAAAAAAAGGUUUGUGACCUCGAUGUUGGACCAAGAUGUCCUUAAGAUGCUCAAGUCUUAAGAGGUAGGUCUGUUCGACCAUUAAAAUCUUACCUGAUCUGAGUUCAAACCGG